This 570-nucleotide ribosomal RNA is filed under the name uncultured bacterium. Its description in RNAcentral is "partial 16S ribosomal RNA". It matches the Rfam family "Bacterial small subunit ribosomal RNA", at positions 355 to 1375 of the family's 1533-position model. The record is from RNAcentral.
UGGGGAAUAUUGGACAAUGGGCGGAAGCCUGAUCCAGCAACGCCGCGUGAGGGAUGACGGCCUUCGGGUUGUAAACCUCUUUCAGCACAGACGAAGCGCAAGUGACGGUAUGUGCAGAAGAAGGACCGGCCAACUACGUGCCAGCAGCCGCGGUAAUACGUAGGGUCCGAGCGUUGUCCGGAAUUAUUGGGCGUAAAGGGCUCGUAGGCGGUUUGUCGCGUCGGGAGUGAAAACACCGGGCUUAACUCGGUGCUUGCUUUCGAUACGGGCAGACUAGAGGCAUUCAGGGGAGAACGGAAUUCCUGGUGUAGCGGUGAAAUGCGCAGAUAUCAGGAGGAACACCGGUGGCGAAGGCGGUUCUCUGGGAAUGUCCUGACGCUGAGGAGCGAAAAGUGUGGGGAGCGAACAGGAUUAGAUACCCUGGUAGUCCACACCGUAAAACGUUGGGCGCUAGGUGUGGGAUCCAUUCCACGGGUUCCGUGCCGCAGCUAACGCAUUAAGCGCCCCGCCUGGGGAGUACGGCCGCAAGGCUAAAACUCAAAUGAAUUGACGGGGUCAUAGCUGUUUCCU